Molecule: long non-coding RNA, 3123 nt
Organism: Jatropha curcas
Lineage: Eukaryota; Viridiplantae; Streptophyta; Magnoliopsida; Malpighiales; Euphorbiaceae
Source: RefSeq, a predicted model, not a curated record
UUUUUUUUUUUUUUUUUUUUGUGCUGCUACACUGCCUGCAGAUUGGUAUAUAUUUGGAUUGUUUGGUUGGUCCAUCUUCUGGAUGCGGCUUUGGGAUCUCAAGUUCAAUUUCCAUUCUUGUUCUGGAAUUAUUCUUUAUAGUUUAUCAAUACUUUCUUCAAAUUAGACUGAAAUGAAAGUUCGCUUUCUUGUUUCCUCAGGGCUUGUUUCUGUCUUCUGUUGGAGAUGGAUAGUAAGCUUGAAUAAGGGAUUUUCUUAGUGGUAGAAAGGAGUUUUCUAUGUCCUUGCAUUAUGUUGGCGUUUUUGCGGUUGAGCUUCUGUUGCGUGUUUCUCUUUUCAUAUUCCUGAACUGGCUUUUCAUUUGCUGUUUCACUGCCUGCAGAUUUGUUUACAGUGGAUUGUUUGGUUGGCCUAACAUCAGAAAGCGGCUAUGGGAUUUCAAUCUUUUCGUGUUCAAUUUCUGUUUCUUGUUCUUGAAUUAUUCGUUGAUACUUAAAAAUACUUCCUUCGCAAGUUGGACUGAAAUGGAAGUUUGUUUUCUUGUUUAUUCAGGGCUUGUUUCUGUCUUCUGUUGGAGAUGGAUUGUAAGCUUGAAUAAGGGGGUUUUUUGGGAUGUUCAAUGAGUAACAUUUAUUUAUGUUAUUAUACAUCUUUAGUGUAGCGGUAGAUUCUGAGUCUAGCUGUGUGGUUUUUUUCAGGAUUCUAUGUAUUGUCUGAAGAAGUUGAUAUAUAGAUCUAUCAGUAAGGCAAACGGUGAACAGGGAGUCUUCUUCCCCCCUUAAUUAGAGCGAUUAUGGUUUCUAGGGAAUGAUAGUAGAAUCUGAAAUGGAUUUACUGAUGUCUUCCCAGGGAUCCACCGACUAAAGAUGUGACUGAUCUAAGAGUCUUGUGAGAGGAUAUCGUUUAAUUUAUAUAGAAACGCUUAUUUACUCUUUUGUUUUCCAUUCGUUUCCGAACUCUAUUCUGAAAUGUAAGCCUUGUUGGAUGAUGUUUUUCCAGGAUCAUUUGUGAAUGGAGAAAUUUAUGGUCUCUGCAUGGAUCAAGAGCAGGAAGUGUUUUAUUUUAUAUUAUGAUUCCACUUUUGAUUAUGGAUAAAAUGAUUUAGUACUCUUGAAAAAUGGAGUCUCAUUGUGUGGUUUGUUACUUGCAGAUGAGUUGAUUAUAUUUUUCUCAGUUUUGUGUCUCUAAGUGAACUUUUUGGUUUCUUCAUUAUUGUUACUUAGCGCGGUUCUUGUUCCCAACAUCCAUGGUUAAUCUUUCAACUUUGUGGGAGUUGAAAUCAAUUGUGGAGAUUUGGUUAUGCUCCUUUUGCAACUUUUGGGAUAUAAGCUCUCGACUGAUGGAGAUUUCUUGAAACUUAUAUCCAUAAUCUUUCCUUUUCAUGUCCUUCCUGCAUGUUUAUGAUCUCUGAGCAUAGAUGGUGUGAUUUUUACAGGAUUCAUUGGUCGCGGAGAAGUGUGUCCCGGUGAAGUGUAGGAAUGAUUUACGCUCUCUCUUUCUAUGUUCGAAUAUUUUAAAAUUCCUGAGUCACUAGCACUUGAGUCUGAAUUUGUAUGUUUGCAGGUCUCUUGGGUCUCACUUGUAUUUGAAGUAUGUGUAUUAACAUCAAUGAGGGAGUGUAUUUCUUUUUGCUGCCCUGAAUUCUUUUUAUUUCCUCUAUUGGACAGUUAUCUGAGUUCUUAUUGUCUCCUUCAUCAGGUCUAUGACUAUUGUUUUUGUUAUGGAGGGAGUAUGAUCUUAUUGUCUUUUCAUUCUGCUCUUGAACUUUUCAGACAGAUCUUAUAAGAAGCUGAAUUGCAACUAUAUUAUGUGCUUUCAGGAUUUUCUGAGAAAUAUGUGGUGGGCUGUCAUGGGUCAGAAGUGAUUUUCUUUUGUAUGGAGCUAGGGGUUCAGUGCUACUGGUUUCUUUGGUGGUUAUCUACUUUUUGUUACCCUUUCAUUUCUGUCGGUGUUUUCUGAUCAUCAAUUUGGUUACUAAUUGUAGUGUUUACAUAAUAAUUUGAUCAUUUGGAAGAUUCACAUGGACAAAUAUGAAUAAUGUUUAAACAGUUUCUUCUUGGACCUGAUUCUGGUGGUUCUUUAUGCGUGGGUAGCUUGAGAUGUUAAAUCGAUGUAAUUUUUAAUUGGCUUCAGGAUACGAGAUUCAGCUGUGUAUCUAUUUUUCAUGGUUCUUUCAACUCUUUUUGGUUGACAUCGGUAUGAAUUAAACUAAAUCUGGAGGGUUCUAUCUUGUCUUAAGGUUUUGUUUCUGUCUUCUGUUGGAGAUGUGGUCUGAGUUUGAACGUAAGGGGGUUUUUUUUGUAUCUCAAUCAACUUGCAGUUUUUAUUUUUUUAAUAAUGGUAAAUCCUGAGUUUGGCAGUGUUGAUUUCCAGGAUCCAAUUAUCUUUUUGGGGCAUGUGAAGAGAAUAAUGUUACGAUUAAGUCAUCAUCAAAGAGUCAUCAGGGCAGUUCUUUUUCAGCCAUGUUCAAUACAUUGUGCUUCUCCAGCUUUUGGAAAGUGUUACUACAUUCUGAGCUGGUAUAUCAUCUGUGAUUUGUGAAAAUUUUACUCGAGGCUUGCUUUCUUCUGAGGGGUUGUUUUUCUUCUGUUGAGAAUGUGAAGUAAAAGCUAACGGGCCAUUCUUUUUCAAGUAAUGGUAAAAAGUUUAUGAUUUUAAUUGAUGGCAUCUAGAAGUAUAACUUCUGUUUAGUGAAAUCCAUGAGGCGUCUGAUUUAAUAGUUAUGAAGACCAAUGCCAAUGUUCCUUUUGCUAUCUUGGUUGCUCAUUUUAGAUGGCUGAGUUAGGUAUAGAAAAACUUCAGCUUUUUGUUCUGGAUUCGAGCUGGUGACAUUGUGGGUUGGGACUUCAGUUUCAGGAGGGAUCUCUCUUCCUGAGGUUUGACUGUUGUGCUGGACAUACGAGUUGGAUAAUGAAUGGACAAAUGGUUAUAAUUCCUAGUCUUGCGAAAGAGACUACUUGCAUUUGUUCCAUUUCAAUGUUUGGUGUCUGCAGCUAUUGUUGUCUAGUUUUUGGCCUAUUUCUGAUUCCUGGUCUGUUCACUGGAUCUUCCUCAUGUGUUAUGCUUAGUUCGAGAUGGUGAUGGCAAGGUUGUGUGCAGUUCACAUUUGAUAUGGAAUAAGGC